Molecule: ribosomal RNA, 506 nt
Filed under: uncultured Glomus
Lineage: Eukaryota; Fungi; Glomeromycota; Glomeromycetes; Glomerales; Glomeraceae
Description: SSU rRNA
Rfam family: Eukaryotic small subunit ribosomal RNA
Source: RNAcentral
AGCAGCCGCGGUAAUUCCAGCUCCCAAUAGCGUAUAUUAAAGUUGUUGCAGUUAAAAAGCUCGUAGUUGAAUUUCGGGGUUAGUAAGUUGGUCAUGCCUUCGGUAUGUACUGGCUUUACUGAUUCCUCCUUCUUGACGAACCGUGAUGUCAUUAAUUUGGUGUUGCGGGAAAUCAGGACUGUUACUUUGAAAAAAUUAGAGUGUUUAAAGCAGGCUAACGCUUGAAUACAUUAGCAUGGAAUAAUGAAAUCGGACGUUAAUCCUAUUUUGUUGGUUUCUAGGAUCGACGUAAUGAUUAAUAGGGAUAGUUGGGGGCAUUAGUAUUCAAUUGUCAGAGGUGAAGUUCUUGGAUUUAUUGAAGACUAACUACUGCGAAAGCAUUUGCCAAGGAUGUUUUCAUUAAUCAAGAACGAAAGUUAGGGGAUCGAAGACGAUCAGAUACCGUCGUAGUCUUAACCAUAAACUAUGCCGACUAGGGAUCGGAUGAUGUUAUUUUUAAUGACUCA